ACCUACGGGGGGCAGCAGUGGGGAAUAUUGCACAAUGGGGGAGACCCUGAUGCAGCAACGCCGCGUGAAGGAAGACGGUUUUCGGAUUGUAAACUUCUGUUCUUAGUGAAGAAGAAUGACGGUAGCUAAGGAGCAAGCCACGGCUAACUACGUGCCAGCAGCCGCGGUAAUACGUAGGUGGCAAGCGUUGUCCGGAAUUACUGGGUGUAAAGGGGGCGCAGACGGCGAUGCAAGCCAGGAGUGAAAGCCCGGGGCCCAACCCCGGGACUGCUCCUGGAACUGCGUGGCUGGAGUGCAGGAGGGGC
This 305-nucleotide ribosomal RNA is filed under the name uncultured bacterium. Its description in RNAcentral is "bacterial SSU rRNA". It matches the Rfam family "Bacterial small subunit ribosomal RNA", at positions 337 to 658 of the family's 1533-position model. The record is from RNAcentral.